RNAcentral lists this non-coding RNA (111 nucleotides) under chicken gut metagenome. RNAcentral describes it as "FMN riboswitch (RFN element)". It matches the Rfam family "FMN riboswitch aptamer (RFN element)". Rfam says of the family: The RFN element is a highly conserved domain that is found frequently in the 5'-untranslated regions of prokaryotic mRNAs that encode for flavin mononucleotide (FMN) biosynthesis and transport proteins. This element is a metabolite-dependent riboswitch that directly binds FMN in the absence of proteins. The record is from RNAcentral.
CAUCUUCAGGGCAGGGUGAGAUUCCCGACCGGCGGUAAAGUCCGCGAGCGCUUAAGCGUAUGAUUUGGUGAAAUUCCAAAACCGACAGUAAAGUCUGGAUGAGAGAAGAGA